Molecule: long non-coding RNA, 289 nt
Filed under: Triticum aestivum (bread wheat)
Lineage: Eukaryota; Viridiplantae; Streptophyta; Magnoliopsida; Poales; Poaceae
Description: long non-coding RNA (TAES_LNC015251)
Source: RNAcentral
UAAAAAUAGUAAGUCUCAAACAUCAACACUCAACGGCCAUAGUUUAAGAGUCUCUAACAUGAACAGCCACCGGGACAGCAACAAUACAACACAAAAUAACACACGAGUUUUAAGAUAGUCUACAUCAAUAGCCACCGAAGGGGACAACAUUACAACAUAGCACAAUCAAAUUAUUCAGAAUCACUCACUGGUAAAUGCAUUUCAUCAUCUUCCGAUUCAGAAGAAGACUCAGCUGAUUGCAACUCAUCAUCACGAUAAAUAGGAAGCAACUUUUUCUUCUUCCUAGGAC